AGAAGUAAAAGUCGUAACAAGGUCUCCGUUGGUGAACCAGCGGAGGGAUCAUUACAGAGUUUACAACUCCCAAACCCAAAUGUGAACAUACCAAUCGUUGCUUCGGCGGACUCGUCCCGGCGUCCGGGUGGCCUUGUGCUGCCCGCGGCCCGGAUCCAGGCGGCCGCCGGAGACCAUCAAACCCUUUGUAUUAUACGUAUCAUCUGAAUCCGCCGCAAGGCAAAACAAAUGAAUCAAAACUUUCAACAACGGAUCUCUUGGUUCUG
Molecule: unclassified non-coding RNA, 266 nt
Filed under: plant metagenome
Description: partial contains small subunit ribosomal RNA, internal transcribed spacer 1, and 5.8S ribosomal RNA
Rfam family: Eukaryotic small subunit ribosomal RNA (bases 1-54)
Source: RNAcentral